Molecule: unclassified non-coding RNA, 208 nt
Filed under: uncultured Clavariaceae
Lineage: Eukaryota; Fungi; Basidiomycota; Agaricomycetes; Agaricales; Clavariaceae
Description: sequence contains ITS2
Source: RNAcentral
AUAUCUCACUCUUGAAUUCCUUGUGAAGUCAAGCAGUGGACUUUGGAGGUUUUGCAGGCCAUCACUGGUCAGCUCCUCUUAAAUGCAUUAGCGGAACUCUAUGCAGUACCGGCCUCGGUUUGAUAAUCCUAUCUAUGCUGUCGCUGUUGUGCUGUGCUGUUUGGCUUACAAUUGUCUUCGGACUGUCACUAUUGUGGCAUAACAUUAA